Diabrotica virgifera virgifera (western corn rootworm) is the source of this 243-nucleotide long non-coding RNA. RefSeq lists it as uncharacterized. NCBI's taxonomy places the organism in Eukaryota, Metazoa, Arthropoda, Insecta, Coleoptera, Chrysomelidae. The transcript has 2 exons. The record is from RefSeq and is a predicted model, not a curated record.
ACUGUUUUUUACCAUUCUGCAAAAUACAGAGUGUUUUAUAAAUAAACGUUAAAAUGUAUAGAAACUUACGUAAUAGAAAAUAGAUAUUGUACAGGGCGUCAAUAAGUUACAUUUCAUGAAUGAAAUACCAUGACGUCACUUUUACUUUUCCUCCCUAGGGAGGAAAAAUAUUUUCCUCCCUAGGGAGGAAAAGUACAACUUUGCACCCUACAAUCAGGUCCGGAAAAGUAUACUUUCGGUAGA